RNAcentral lists this transfer RNA (73 nucleotides) under Desmophyllum pertusum. RNAcentral describes it as "Lophelia pertusa tRNA". It matches the Rfam family "tRNA". Rfam says of the family: Transfer RNA (tRNA) molecules are approximately 80 nucleotides in length. Their secondary structure includes four short double-helical elements and three loops (D, anti-codon, and T loops). Lineage: Eukaryota; Metazoa; Cnidaria; Anthozoa; Scleractinia; Caryophylliidae. The record is from Rfam by way of RNAcentral.
GUUCUCGUAGUGUAGUGGUUAUCACGUCCGCCUAACACGCGGAAGGUCGCAGGAUCGAUCCCUGCCGAGAACA